GUUGACCUCGGAUCAGGUAGGAAUCC
Molecule: ribosomal RNA, 26 nt
Filed under: Purpureocillium lilacinum
Lineage: Eukaryota; Fungi; Ascomycota; Sordariomycetes; Hypocreales; Ophiocordycipitaceae
Also listed under: 1 other name
Description: partial 28S ribosomal RNA
Source: RNAcentral